AGAGUUUGAUCMUGGCUCAGAACGAACGCUGGCGGCGUGCUUAACACAUGCAAGUCGAACGGGGUUAUAUAGUGUAGCAAUACAUUGUAUAACUUAGUGGCGGACGGGUGAGUAACACGUAGGUAACCAACCCUAAAGCGGGGGACAACCCAGGGAAACUUGGGCUAAUACCGCAUAAGACCACGGACUGGGAGGUCUGUGGUAAAAGCAGCAAUGCACUUUAGGAUGGGCCUGCGGCCUAUCAGGUAGUUGGCGGGGUAAAGCCCACCAAGCCUAAGACGGGUAGCCGGACUGAGAGGUUGAACGGCCACACUGGAACUGAGAUACGGUCCAGACUCCUACGGGAGGCAGCAGUGGGGAAUUUUGCGCAAUGGGCGAAAGCCUGACGSAGCRACGCCGCGUGGAGUGAUGAAGGUCUUCGGAUCGUAAAACUCUGUUAUUAGGGAAGAACAAAUGYGUAAGUAACURUGCRCGUCUUGACGGUACCUAAUCAGAAAGCCACGGCUAACUACGUGCCAGCAGCCGCGGUAAUA
RNAcentral lists this ribosomal RNA (533 nucleotides) under bacterium enrichment culture clone Cont92_3131. RNAcentral's name for it is "bacterial SSU rRNA". It matches the Rfam family "Bacterial small subunit ribosomal RNA", at positions 8 to 525 of the family's 1533-position model. The record is from RNAcentral.